RNAcentral lists this ribosomal RNA (646 nucleotides) under uncultured Nitrososphaerota archaeon. Its description in RNAcentral is "bacterial SSU rRNA". It matches the Rfam family "Archaeal small subunit ribosomal RNA", at positions 69 to 718 of the family's 1478-position model. Lineage: Archaea; Thermoproteati; Nitrososphaerota. The record is from RNAcentral.
CAGCAAUGCGUGGCAUACGGCUCAGUAACACGUAGUCAACAUGCCCAGGGGACGUGGAUAACCUCGGGAAACUGAGGAUAAACCGCGAUAGGCCAAGGUUUCUGGAAUGGACACUGGCUGAAACCUAUAUGGCCCCUGGAUUGGACUGCGGCCGAUCAGGCUGUUGGUGAGGUAAUGGCCCACCAAACCUGUAACCGGUACGGGCUUUGAGAGAAGGAGCCCGGAGAUGGGCACUGAGACAAGGGCCCAGGCCCUACGGGGCGCAGCAGGCGCGAAAAUUCUGCAAUAGGCGAAAGCUUGACAGAGUUACUCUGAGUGAUGCCCGCUAAGGGCAUCUUUUGGCACCUCUAAAAAUGGUGCAGAAUAAGGGGUGGGCAAGUCUGGUGUCAGCCGCCGCGGUAAUACCAGCACCCCGAGUGGUCGGGACGAUUAUUGGGCCUAAAGCAUCCGUAGCUUGUUCUGCAAGUCUUCCGUUAAAUCCACCUGCUCAACAGAUGGGCUGCGGGAGAUACUACAGGGCUAGGAGGCGGGAGAGGCAAGCGGUACUCAGUGGGUAGGGGUAAAAUCCUCUGAUCCACUGAAGACCACCAGUGGCGAAGGCGGCUUGCCAGAACGCGCUCGACGGUGAGGGAUGAAAGCUGGGGGA